AGUGUGAUUCGUCACACUAUCAUUAACUGAAUCCAUAGGUUAAUGAGGCGAACCGGGGGAACUGAAACAUCUAAGUACCCCGAGGAAAAGAAAUCAACCGAGAUUCCCCCAGUAGCGGCGAGCGAACGGGGAGGAGCCCAGAGCCUGAAUCAGCAUGUGUGUUAGUGGAAGCGUCUGGAAAGGCGCGCGAUACAGGGUGACAGCCCCGUACACAAAAGCGCAUGUGCUGUGAGCUCGAUGAGUAGGGCGGGACACGUGGUAUCCUGUCUGAAUAUGGGGGGACCAUCCUCCAAGGCUAAAUACUCCUGACUGACCGAUAGUGAACCAGUACCGUGAGGGAAAGGCGAAAAGAACCCCGGCGAGGGGAGUGAAAAAGAACCUGAAACCGUGU
This 391-nucleotide ribosomal RNA is filed under the name Salmonella enterica subsp. enterica serovar Enteritidis. Its description in RNAcentral is "partial 23S ribosomal RNA". It matches the Rfam family "Bacterial large subunit ribosomal RNA", at positions 130 to 561 of the family's 2925-position model. The record is from RNAcentral. Lineage: Bacteria; Pseudomonadati; Pseudomonadota; Gammaproteobacteria; Enterobacterales; Enterobacteriaceae.